RNAcentral lists this ribosomal RNA (673 nucleotides) under Alphamyces chaetifer. RNAcentral's name for it is "eukaryotic LSU rRNA". The stretch from base 217 to 358 matches the Rfam family "5.8S ribosomal RNA". The record is from RNAcentral. Lineage: Eukaryota; Fungi; Chytridiomycota; Chytridiomycetes; Rhizophydiales; Alphamycetaceae.
GGUGAACCUGCGGUUGGAUCAUUACUGAACGUCCCGGUGGUCGAGUCUGGACUCUUUGUCUUGGAUUCCCCCGGGUACCAACCCCUUGUGCACCAUGAUGUUUUUUGGGCCAGCAGUUACUUUUACCCAUUCAUUUUGGGCAGAGUUCUCUGGCCCAGCAUUAUUUUACAGAGACCAUAGUAACCCAAUGUCUUAAAAAAAGUAUAAUUUACUUACAACUUUUGACAACGGAUCUCUUGGCUCUCGCAACGAUGAAGAACGCAGCGAAAUGCGAUACGUAAUGUGAAUUGCUUUCCGUGAAUCAUCAAAUCUUUGAACGCAACUUGCACUCUUUUAGAGUAUGCCUGUUUGAGAAUCUAUUGUAUCUUUCAAAGCCCUCGGGACUGGAAACAGAUCCGGGAGUGGAGAGAUUUGAGACCUCCCUCUCUUUUUUUAAAAAAAGAGGGUGUCUUGAAAUAGAUUGCCGGCUGGGUCUCUCAGAGACCCGGGUCUUGGUCUUUGGCCAGGUACCUCCCUACGGAACAGCUGGGUAUGUGUACGAAACUCUGUUUCUCAUUAUGCCCACUGCUGGUCCCGGGAAGUGCCCUCUGCUCAAGCAAUUGAGAGGCCGACCUUGUCAGUACCCGGCCCAUCAAAACUAAAAUUUUUGAACCUUGGUCUCAAAUCAGGUAGG